Long non-coding RNA from Drosophila biarmipes, 355 nucleotides. RefSeq lists it as uncharacterized. The record is from RefSeq and is a predicted model, not a curated record. The transcript has 2 exons. Lineage: Eukaryota; Metazoa; Arthropoda; Insecta; Diptera; Drosophilidae.
UAAGUCUUUACUUCAGUGGACAAGAACUGUAACAUAUAGAUCAACCAUCAUCAUCAAUCAGAAAAACCAGGUCAACCUUGUCAUCAAAACGUUUUAAUAAAUUUAAUAGAAAGACACUGAUAUCGGAGACAAGGUUGCCUGACAAUGUAAGAUUCCCGAUCCUCAAGGCGGAGCGCAUAUAACAAUGAUUGGAGAAUCUAUUGCUGUCGAGUUGAAGGAACACAUCAUGAACAUGCCGGAAAGGAAAACCCCUUUUUAUUUAAAUCUCUCUUUUUUUUAAAUAUAAUUAAAUAAUAUAUCGAAUCUUUUUUAUUGGGAAAUUGUAUAUAAAUAAUAAAGAUAAUGGCGUUCACUA